UAUCAUAAUGUAUCGUGUAUGGCGUGACAGAGGACUGUUGGGGCGAGGGUGUGGACUGCAGGCCGCCCACCUGGAGUCUUAUCAUACAGGACAGGUCAGUGGGGGCGUCUGAAGUGUAUGAAUGCUUUUUUCCCUCCUACCCCAGGUGCCAGGCUGGCUGGCCCGGUCACGACUGAAAUCCGAUAAUGGUAGCGUCUCGCCUGUCCUGGAAAGCCGUGCCAGAUGUACGAAAGUAAACACAGCAGCUCAUCAUCUCCCUUACUCUUUCCCCAUCAUUUUCCCUCACACCAAGUCUUGCUAGGGCUCGGCUAGUAGGUGAGACAUCCUGUCAGUGAAGUGAAGCGGAAGACGGACAUCAGCGUUGUUCAAAUCGUGGCGGGGUCAGGUGCCGAGCAGGUUGGCAACUCGGGUUCAUCCUUCCCUGCGCUGGGCGACGUGCGCUCGGGCAGACCAGCUCACAGCACAAGUUGACAAGCGAGGGAGUGGAGAGUGACUGUGAGAUAACGCUCGGGGUGACCGCCCUGCUUGCCGAGGAAUACUUUCAGUCCCGCUGGGGGUUUGUCACAGGAGCCGAGCCUGGCGUAAUCCGUACUAAUGAUUAAUCAAUUCUGGAACCUGUGUCGUGCCUGUCCUUCAGUAAACAUUGAUAAGUUGCGGUCACGUGGACUUGAUGAAUGGACGCGCAGACGGUGGUGUUACGAGGUGGCUGGCUGGCGAGAUGGAUCGCCGAGGGGGGACGUGCCGGAACGUAAGGCAGCGGCUACACCCUCGCCAGGAACAAAGCUGCACUCUGAGUACCGCAGCACUUACCGCUGGCACGAGUAUAAGCCUCAAACCCAGAAUGAAGUCAUCAGAAAGCCGCCAACGUCACAAGGUACGAGCAAGGAGGCACUCAGGUUGUACUGUGAGUGUCAGCAGGGAGGGGAAGAAGAGUGACUGAAGAAAAUGAAGAAAAAUACACUACAUCUAAUUACUAAAACACAAAUGUUGGUCAUGAGAACUUUUUUUUUUUACAUUUGUAGAAGGCUAACCAAAGGUACACAAAUUUGAAAUGAACUCACUUAAAUUACGCUUCAAAAAUAGUUAUGUAAGAGUUAAAAAACAAAAAAAGACAGAUAAAUUUAGUUCUGGAAUUGUUUGGUGUUCCUCUCAUGAAAUUAAUUCACAGGGAAGAAAAUAGAAACGGUUAAAGAAUUUCAAGAGUUUACCAGAGAGGGAUGAAAGAGUGAAGAUCCUGCUUUACUUUUGCAUGAGUAAAGUGGAUAGUCUUGGGCAGCGAGGCCGUGUGUGGAGGGACGGGGAGGGGAAGACAAGGUAAGAGGAGGAGUGACCAUGGAAAUAACAAUAGAAGAUAGGGUGGCAAGGGAUGCGAAUAAUUCCACUAAUACAUUAUCAUAGUUUUCAGUUGUACAUUCGAGAUUAUUAUCAGAGAGAGAGAGAGAGAGAGAGAGAGAGAGAGAGAGAGAGAGAGAGAGAGAGUACCCGUGGAUCCAAUGACACGUGCUCUGCCAGACCCGUGCACUGGUAACACAAGCCACGUGCCGCUGCUCUGUACAGGAAUAUCACAUUUUUUCCUACCUAACAAAGUGACGAGGACGGAGGUGCAUCUAAUAGACCAUAUUCUGAAACGCUCCUGCGCUUCAUCCCGACUCCUUUUAAAAGGCUUAGUUGAAAUUGCACGGCCUUUUAAGGAUGACUUUAAGGUUCUAGUUGUAGAUUAAUAAGAUUUCUCCAUUAUUAACAGGAGAAACACUCUUGAGAAACUGGCUAAUCAUCUCUGUGGCAUUUGAAGGCAAUGGUGAGAGAACAAAGCAUUUCAAAAUAAGGUUAAAAAUGUCUGGCCACUCUGAGCUUCCCUCCAAGUGGUGUCAUCUAGCGGGCUUCACUUCCAUUACUUAACCCUCUCGCUGCUAUACACAAAUCUUUCAUUUUAAUACAUGUAGUUUAUUAGAUACUAUUUUUGCGCUUACUUCUCAUAAAUAUUUCUGUAGAGUAAAAAAUAUACUAAAUUA
Molecule: long non-coding RNA, 2012 nt
Organism: Scylla paramamosain (green mud crab)
Lineage: Eukaryota; Metazoa; Arthropoda; Malacostraca; Decapoda; Portunidae
Exons: 4
Source: RefSeq, a predicted model, not a curated record